GACGAACGCUGGCGGCGUGCUUAACACAUGCAAGUCGAACGGAAAGGCCCUGCUUUUGUGGGGUGCUCGAGUGGCGAACGGGUCAGUAACACGUGAGUAACCUGCCCUUGACUUUGGGAUAACUUCAGGAAACUGGGGCUAAUACCGGAUAGGAGCUCCUGCUGCAUGGUGGGGGUUGGAAAGUUUCGGCGGUUGGGGAUGGACUCGCGGCUUAUCAGCUUGUUGGUGGGGUAGUGGCUUACCAAGGCUUUGACGGGUAGCCGGCCUGAGAGGGUGACCGGCCACAUUGGGACUGAGAUACGGCCCAGACUCCUACGGGAGGCAGCAGUGGGGAAUAUUGCACAAUGGGCGGAAGCCUGAUGCAGCAACGCCGCGUGCGGGAUGACGGCCUUCGGGUUGUAAACCGCUUCCGCCUGUGACGAAGCGUGAGUGACGGUAAUGGGUAAAGAAGCACCGGCUAACUACGUG
RNAcentral lists this ribosomal RNA (468 nucleotides) under uncultured bacterium. Its description in RNAcentral is "partial 16S ribosomal RNA". It matches the Rfam family "Bacterial small subunit ribosomal RNA", at positions 28 to 507 of the family's 1533-position model. The record is from RNAcentral.